AUACGGAGUUUCUUUCUCUCGCCCAGGCUGGAGUGCAGUGUCACAUUCACAGCUCACUGCAGCGUCAACCUCCCAGGCUCAAGCAAUCUUCCCACCUCAGGCUCCUGAGUAGCUGAUACUACAGAUGUAUGCCACCACACCUGGCUAAUUGUAUUUUUGUAGAGAUGGGGUUUCGCCAUGUUGCCCAGGCUGGUCUUGAACUCCUGCGCUCAAGAGAUCUGUCUGCCUCAGCCUCACACAGUGCUAGGAUUACAGGUGUGGGUCACCGUGCCCGGCCAGGAGAUUGAUUUUGACUAAUCAGUUUUCAUCCAAAUCCCAGGAGGCCCAUAACUUGGCAAGCGCACCCAGAUAGGCUUUCACUAGGCACAUGACCAAACUUGACGUUCCCUGUUGUCCAAACCGGCUGGGCUGGCCCUAAAAUAACCUGUAAUUCAACAUCUGAGGGACUCUGCAGGGAUGUGUGGCAACCCAUUUCACAUACCCUUUACCCUAGAGCAUGUAUAUUUCUGCCAGGGCUUCAUUCAGAGAGGAGCAGUUAGUUGCCUUGCUGGACAGAGUGGGACAUGUGUGACCUUAUUAGGGGGCAGCAGUGGAGAGUGCCGGCACUGCCAUUUUCUAGCUGUGUAACUCCAAACAAAUGCCUUGACCUCCCUGGUACUUCAGUUUCCUCAUCUGUAAACUUGUGAUAAUAUUAAAACCUUCAUGGAUUAUCGUGAAGACUAACUUUUUUUUUUUUUUUUUGAGACAGAGUCUCGCACUGUCACCCAGGCUGGAGUACAGUGGCACGAUCUUGGCUAACUGCAACCUCCGCCUCCCAGGUUCAAGCGAUUCUCCUUGCCUCAUCCUCCAGAGUAGCUGUGAUUACAGGCGCCCGCCACCAUGCCUGGCUAAUUUUUUUGUAUGUUUAGUAGAGACAGGUUUCACUAUGUUGACCAGGCUGGUCUCAAACCCCUGACCUCAUGAUCUGCCAGCCUCAGCCUCCCAAAGUGCUGGGAUUAUAGAUGUGAACCACCACGCCUUUCCACGAGGACUAACUUUAAAGCUCUUUACAUAGUGUCUGUCACAUGGUGCACAUCCAUUUACCAUUACUACUACCACUGCCACCUUUGUUCCAAAUUUCAUGCUGAGCCUAAAGAACACAGAUUAUUUUCUCAUAGUGAUUGAACUGACUUGGAAGAGCCUGUCUGAAUUUGGUAACCACGUUUUCUCAGAGAGAAAGUCUGAAAUCUGGUUUUUCUACUGCUGACUCACCUUUUAGUCUUCCAGCUGGCCUUACCUGUUUCCCUGUCUGUAAAGUGAACUUAAGUAUUUACCUAUAAGG
RNAcentral lists this long non-coding RNA (1321 nucleotides) under Homo sapiens (human). Its description in RNAcentral is "HSALNT0405598". Lineage: Eukaryota; Metazoa; Chordata; Mammalia; Primates; Hominidae. The record is from RNAcentral.